GGGUUGUGAGGUUAAGCGACUAAGCGUACACGGUGGAUGCCCUGGCAGUCAGAGGCGAUGAAGGGCGUGCUAAUCUGCGAUAAGCGCCGGUAAGGUGAUAUGAACCGUUAUAACCGGCGAUACCCGAAUGGGGAAACCCAGUGUGAUUCGUCACACUAUCAUUAACUGAAUCCAUAGGUUAAUGAGGCGAACCGGGGGAACUGAAACAUCUAAGUACCCCGAGGAAAAGAAAUCAACCGAGAUUCCCCCAGUAGCGGCGAGCGAACGGGGAGGAGCCCAGAGCCUGAAUCAGCAUGUGUGUUAGUGGAAGCGUCUGGAAAGGCGCGCGAUACAGGGUGACAGCCCCGUACACAAAAGCGCAUGUGCUGUGAGCUCGAUGAGUAGGGCGGGACACGUGGUAUCCUGUCUGAAUAUGGGGGGACCAUCCUCCAAGGCUAAAUACUCCUGACUGACCGAUAGUGAACCAGUACCGUGAGGGAAAGGCGAAAAGAACCCCGGCGAGGGGAGUGAAAAAGAACCUGAAACCGUGUACGUACAAGCAGUGGGAGCCCCACCACUAAGCCAGUGGUGAACUCCACAUCCGCAUCCUUUGCUGAGGAUACGGUUAACGGAGCGAAAGCGACGUUCAACCGCAAAACAAGCAGAGGGGGCUUAGUGGUGGGGUGACUGCGUACCUUUUGUAUAAUGGGUCAGCGACUUAUAUUCUGUAGCAAGGUUAACCGAAUAGGGGAGCCGGAGGGAAACCGAGUCUUAAUUGGGCGUUAAGUUGCAGGGUAUAGACCCGAAACCCGGUGAUCUAGCCAUGGGCAGGUUGAAGGUUGGGUAACACUAACUGGAGGACCGAACCGACUAAUGUUGAAAAAUUAGCGGAUGACCUGUGGCUGGGGGUGAAAGGCCAAUCAAACCGGGAGAUAGCUGGUUCUCCCCGAAAGCUAUUUAGGUAGCGCCUCGUGAAUUCAUCUCCGGGGGUAGAGCACUGUUUCGGCUAGGGGGCCAUCCCGGCUUACCAACCCGAUGCAAACUGCGAAUACCGGAGAAUGUUAUCACGGGAGACACACGGCGGGUGCUAACGUCCGUCGUGAAGAGGGAAACAACCCAGACCGCCAGCUAAGGUCCCAAAGUCAUGGUUAAGUGGGAAACGAUGUGGGAAGGCCCAGACAGCCAGGAUGUUGGCUUAGAAGCAGCCAUCAUUUAAAGAAAGCGUAAUAGCUCACUGGUCGAGUCGGCCUGCGCGGAAGAUGUAACGGGGCUAAACCAUGCACCGAAGCUGCGGCAGCGAACGUAUCACUUAAAGCGAUUCAGCGGGUUACGAUUGACGGAGCGAAGCGACGUCAAAGCGUAUACAAAGUCGAGUCGGUUUAAGGAUACGUUCGUUGGGUAGGGGAGCGUUCUGUAAGCCCGUGAAGGUGGCCUGUGAGGGUUGCUGGAGGUAUCAGAAGUGCGAAUGCUGACAUAAGUAACGAUAAAGCGGGUGAAAAGCCCGCUCGCCGGAAGACCAAGGGUUCCUGUCCAACGUUAAUCGGGGCAGGGUGAGUCGACCCCUAAGGCGAGGCCGAAAGGCGUAGUCGAUGGGAAACGGGUUAAUAUUCCCGUACUUGGUGUUACUGCGAAGGGGGGACGGAGAAGGCUAUGUUGGCCGGGCGACGGUUGUCCCGGUUUAAGCGUGUAGGUGUGUGUUCCAGGUAAAUCCGGUUCACUUUAACACUGAGGCGUGAUGACGAGGCACUACGGUGCUGAAGCAACAAAUGCCCUGCUUCCAGGAAAAGCCUCUAAGCAUCAGGUAACAUCAAAUCGUACCCCAAACCGACACAGGUGGUCAGGUAGAGAAUACCAAGGCGCUUGAGAGAACUCGGGUGAAGGAACUAGGCAAAAUGGUGCCGUAACUUCGGGAGAAGGCACGCUGACACGUAGGUGAAGUGAUUUACUCACGGAGCUGAAGUCAGUCGAAGAUACCAGCUGGCUGCAACUGUUUAUUAAAAACACAGCACUGUGCAAACACGAAAGUGGACGUAUACGGUGUGACGCCUGCCCGGUGCCGGAAGGUUAAUUGAUGGGGUCAGCGCAAGCGAAGCUCCUGAUCGAAGCCCCGGUAAACGGCGGCCGUAACUAUAACGGUCCUAAGGUAGCGAAAUUCCUUGUCGGGUAAGUUCCGACCUGCACGAAUGGCGUAAUGAUGGCCAGGCUGUCUCCACCCGAGACUCAGUGAAAUUGAACUCGCUGUGAAGAUGCAGUGUACCCGCGGCAAGACGGAAAGACCCCGUGAACCUUUACUAUAGCUUGACACUGAACAUUGAGCCUUGAUGUGUAGGAUAGGUGGGAGGCUUUGAAGUGUGGACGCCAGUCUGCAUGGAGCCGACCUUGAAAUACCACCCUUUAAUGUUUGAUGUUCUAACGUGGACCCGUAAUCCGGGUUGCGGACAGUGUCUGGUGGGUAGUUUGACUGGGGCGGUCUCCUCCUAAAGAGUAACGGAGGAGCACGAAGGUUGGCUAAUCCUGGUCGGACAUCAGGAGGUUAGUGCAAUGGCAUAAGCCAGCUUGACUGCGAGCGUGACGGCGCGAGCAGGUGCGAAAGCAGGUCAUAGUGAUCCGGUGGUUCUGAAUGGAAGGGCCAUCGCUCAACGGAUAAAAGGUACUCCGGGGAUAACAGGCUGAUACCGCCCAAGAGUUCAUAUCGACGGCGGUGUUUGGCACCUCGAUGUCGGCUCAUCACAUCCUGGGGCUGAAGUAGGUCCCAAGGGUAUGGCUGUUCGCCAUUUAAAGUGGUACGCGAGCUGGGUUUAGAACGUCGUGAGACAGUUCGGUCCCUAUCUGCCGUGGGCGCUGGAGAACUGAGGGGGGCUGCUCCUAGUACGAGAGGACCGGAGUGGACGCAUCACUGGUGUUCGGGUUGUCAUGCCAAUGGCACUGCCCGGUAGCUAAAUGCGGAAGAGAUAAGUGCUGAAAGCAUCUAAGCACGAAACUUGCCCCGAGAUGAGUUCUCCCUGAGACUUAGAGUCUCCUGAAGGAACGUUGAAGACGACGACGUUGAUAGGCCGGGUGUGUAAGCGCAGCGAUGCGUUGAGCUAACCGGUACUAAUGAACCGUGAGGCUUAACCUUACAACGCCGAAG
Molecule: ribosomal RNA, 3109 nt
Filed under: Salmonella enterica
Lineage: Bacteria; Pseudomonadati; Pseudomonadota; Gammaproteobacteria; Enterobacterales; Enterobacteriaceae
Also listed under: 5 other names
Description: bacterial LSU rRNA
Rfam family: Bacterial large subunit ribosomal RNA
Source: RNAcentral